RNAcentral lists this transfer RNA (76 nucleotides) under Chloroflexota bacterium. RNAcentral describes it as "Chloroflexi bacterium (soil metagenome) tRNA-Phe". It matches the Rfam family "tRNA". Rfam says of the family: Transfer RNA (tRNA) molecules are approximately 80 nucleotides in length. Their secondary structure includes four short double-helical elements and three loops (D, anti-codon, and T loops). The record is from RNAcentral. RNAcentral also lists the same sequence under 3 other names. Lineage: Bacteria; Bacillati; Chloroflexota.
GCCGAGGUAGCUCAGUCGGUAGAGCACCGCCCUGAAGAGGCGGGUGUCGUCAGUUCGAUUCUGACCCUCGGCACCA